Molecule: ribosomal RNA, 270 nt
Filed under: uncultured archaeon
Lineage: Archaea
Description: partial 16S ribosomal RNA
Rfam family: Archaeal small subunit ribosomal RNA
Source: RNAcentral
CAGCACCUCAAGUGGUCAGGAUGAUUAUUGGGCCUAAAGCAUCCGUAGCCGGCGCUGUAAGUUUUCGGUUAAAUCUGUACGCUCAACGUACAGGCUGCCGGGAAUACUGCAGCGCUAGGGAGUGGGAGAGGUAGACGGUACUCGGUAGGAAGGGGUAAAAUCCUUUGAUCUAUUGAUGACCACCUGUGGCGAAGGCGGUCUACCAAAACACGUCCGACGGUGAGGGAUGAAAGCUGGGGGAGCAAACCGGAUUAGAUACCCGUGUAGUCC